GCAGUGGUGGUUCAAUGGUAGAAUUCUCGCCUUCCAUGGGGAAGACCCGGGUUUGACUCUGGCCAAUGCA
This 70-nucleotide transfer RNA is filed under the name Loxodonta africana (African savanna elephant). It matches the Rfam family "tRNA". Rfam says of the family: Transfer RNA (tRNA) molecules are approximately 80 nucleotides in length. The record is from Rfam by way of RNAcentral. Lineage: Eukaryota; Metazoa; Chordata; Mammalia; Proboscidea; Elephantidae.